This 251-nucleotide ribosomal RNA is filed under the name uncultured bacterium. RNAcentral describes it as "partial 16S ribosomal RNA". It matches the Rfam family "Bacterial small subunit ribosomal RNA", at positions 57 to 305 of the family's 1533-position model. The record is from RNAcentral.
GCAAGUCGAACGGUAGGAAAUGCUUGCAUUUCCGAGAGUGGCGAACGGGUGAGUAACACUUAGAUGAUCUACCUUUUAGUUGGGGAUAGCCCAUGGAAACAUGGAGUAAUACCGAAUAAUCUCUUAGAACUUUAGUUUUAAGAGGAAAGAAGCGGUUACUUCGCUGAAAGAUGAGUCUGCGCACUAUUAGCUAGUUGGUGGGGUAAGGGCCUACCAAGGCGACGAUAGUUAGCCGACCUGAGAGGGUGAUC